Molecule: ribosomal RNA, 410 nt
Filed under: Neocalanus flemingeri
Lineage: Eukaryota; Metazoa; Arthropoda; Copepoda; Calanoida; Calanidae
Description: partial 16S ribosomal RNA
Rfam family: Bacterial large subunit ribosomal RNA
Source: RNAcentral
CGCCUGUUUAUCAAAAACAUUGUAAAUAAUAUUUAUACCGCCUGCUCAAUGAAUAGUUUAAAUAGCCGCGUUAGUGCUAAGGUAGCAUAGUAAUUAGUUUUUUAAUUGGAAAAUAGAAUGAAUGGUACCACUAAGAUAUCUUUUUUAGGACAUGUUUCGAAAUUUUAGUUUAAGUGAAAAUACUUAAGGACGUUUUUAAGACGAGAAGACCCUAUGAAGCUGAUAGAUCCUAAACAUUAUUAACGAUCUUGACAGAAAUCUAUUUUUUGGGGUAAAAAUUAAAAUUAUUAUUUAAAUUUAUAUAUAUCAAAUGAGCCUCUUGGAAUAAUAAAAAAGCUCCUCUAGGGAUAACAGCAUUAUACCUAUAAGAGUUCUUAUCAGAAUAGGUGUUUGUGACCUCGAUGUUGAAU